GAUGAACGCUGGCGGCGUGCCUAAUACAUGCAAGUCGAGCGAACAGACGAGGAGCUUGCUCCUUCGACGUUAGCGGCGGACGGGUGAGUAACACGUAGGUAACCUACCUAUAAGACUGGGAUAACUUCGGGAAACCGGAGCUAAUACCGGAUAAUAUUUCGAACCGCAUGGUUCGAUAGUGAAAGAUGGCUUUGCUAUCACUUAUAGAUGGACCUGCGCCGUAUUAGCUAGUUGGUAAGGUAACGGCUUACCAAGGCAACGAUACGUAGCCGACCUGAGAGGGUGAUCGGCCACACUGGAACUGAGACACGGUCCAGACUCCUACGGGAGGCAGCAGUAGGGAAUCUUCCGCAAUGGGCGAAAGCCUGACGGAGCAACGCCGCGUGAGUGAUGAAGGUCUUCGGAUCGUAAAACUCUGUUAUCAGGGAAGAACAAACGUGUAAGUAACUGUGCACGUCUUGACGGUACCUAAUCAGAAAGCCACGGCUAACUACGUG
Molecule: ribosomal RNA, 497 nt
Filed under: uncultured bacterium
Lineage: Bacteria
Description: partial 16S ribosomal RNA
Rfam family: Bacterial small subunit ribosomal RNA
Source: RNAcentral